RNAcentral lists this ribosomal RNA (253 nucleotides) under uncultured bacterium. RNAcentral describes it as "partial 16S ribosomal RNA". It matches the Rfam family "Bacterial small subunit ribosomal RNA", at positions 524 to 776 of the family's 1533-position model. The record is from RNAcentral.
UACGUAGGUGGCAAGCGUUAUCCGGAAUUAUUGGGCGUAAAGAGCGCGCAGGUGGUUGAUUAAGUCUGAUGUGAAAGCCCACGGCUUAACCGUGGAGGGUCAUUGGAAACUGGUUGACUUGAGUGCAGGAGAGGGAAGUGGAAUUCCAUGUGUAGCGGUGAAAUGCGUAGAGAUAUGGAGGAACACCAGUGGCGAAGGCGGCUUCCUGGUCUGUAACUGACACUGAGGCGCGAAAGCGUGGGGAGCAAACAGG